AUGGAGGCGUCAGUCUUAAAGCUGCUCCCGCUGGACCCGGGAGAUGAGGGCACCCAGCGGUGCCGGCUUGGACCUGCCGCGCUGUCCUUCCUGGGAGCCAGGAUCGGCGCCCCGCUGAGGAUCUCCGUGCCCGGCGGCUGCUGUGUGUGCACGGCGUGGCCCCGGCACGACCUGGCGGACGGGUACCUGCAGGCCGACCUCACGUGCAGCACGGCGGGGCUGGCGGCGCGGCACCUGCGCGGCCUCUCGCUGAGCCUGGGCCGGCUGCAGCUGCUGCCGUACGGACAGCUGCGAACAGCCGCUGUGAGAGUGGUCCUCAAAAGCGCCGCGCUGAAAAAGUCAACUCCCAGAGGGCUGUUGCAGGAGAUAAUCACAGAACUGCUAAGAAAUGUGUAUGUUUCGCCUCGUUACGUUGUUACUGUUCCCUCAAGUCCCGAAAAUCCCGUGGUGUAUAUUGAAAUACUGUCUACAUCUCCUUUGAAUGAGGGAGCUGGAUUAGUAACUCCCCAGACAAGUAUAAAAAUUAAGGAGGUGAUCCCUUUAGAAUGGUACAGACAUCUUUCAGAAGACACUGCAAAAACUUCAGUUGCAGGACUGGAUGAUGUGGGGAAGUCUUUGAAAGAAAUGAUUGAUCUUCCUUUCCGCUUUCCAAAAACUUUCAAGAAGCUGGGUCUUUCUGUCCCCAAUGGAGUGCUAUUAAUUGGACCCCCAGGUGUAGGGAAAACUCUAACGGUAAAGGCAGUAGCAAAAGAGCUGGGUGCGUAUCUAUUUGGCAUCAGUGGCCCAGCCCUCCAUGGUUCAAGACCAGGAGAAGGUGAAGAGAAUUUGCGGAGAGUCUUUGAAAAAGGCAGAGAGAUGGCAAACGAGGGCCCUACCAUUCUCUUUUUUGAUGAGAUUGAUUCUUUAUGCCCAAAGCGAGGAAGUUCAAACAAUGCUCCUGAAGAUCGUAUUGUUGCUCAGUUGCUGACGCUGCUGGAUGGAGUAGGCAGUGAGGGGAAGAUGGUCAUUGUGGCAGCGACCAACAGGCCUGAUGCCUUAGACCCUGCACUGAGAAGACCUGGCAGAUUUGACAGAGAGGUUAUUAUUGGGACGCCAACAGUAACACAGAGAAGAUCCAUCCUGCAGUUGCUUACAUCUGAUAUGCCCAUUUCUGCAGAGGUUGAUUUGGCUAAGCUGGCAGAAAUGACAACUGGGUAUGUUGGAGCUGACCUUACAGCACUCUGCAGAGAAGCUGCUAUGCAGGCUGUGUCCCACAGCUCUUUGGAUUCAGCUGAAAGGGAAACCAUGAUUAACAUGGGAGAUUUCCAAGAAGCUUUUAAAAAAAUUCAACCGUCCUCUUUUCGAGGUGCAGUUGGACUAACGGAGUGUAAACCUGUGACGUGGGAGCAAAUUGGUGGUCUUGAAGAUGUGAAAUUAAAGUUAAAACAGAGUAUUGAGUGGCCUAUGAAAUUUCCUGAGGCAUUUGCCAGGAUGGGCCUGUCUCAUCCCAAGGGUAUUCUUCUCUAUGGACCAUCUGGGUGUGCCAAAACCACACUGGUGAAGGCUGUGGCCACAAGUUGUCACUGUUCCUUUCUCUCUGUAAGUGGUGCUGACCUGUUCUCACCUUACGUUGGAGAUUCAGAGAAGAUUUUGUCUCAGGUUUUUCGUCAAGCAAGAGCAAAUACUCCAGCAAUAAUAUUUCUAGAUGAGAUUGAUUCUAUCUUGGGAUCUCGGGCACACUGCAGAACUGGCCAUGGUGUCUCAGAGCGGGUUCUUUCUGUUCUUCUCAAUGAAUUGGAUGGAGUUGGGCUGAAAGUUACAGAAAGAAGAGGAGGCAAGCUACAGCUUGAGGCUCAAUGCCAAGAACAAAGUGAUGAGGAAAGAAAGCUAGAGUUUCAGGAAACUUUGAACAAAGAUUUCAUGGUAGUUGCUGCAACAAAUAGACCAGAUAUGUUGGAUGAUGCCUUACUCCGUCCUGGAAGGCUGGACAAGAUGAUCUAUAUUCCACCUCCAGAUCUGAAGGGAAGACUCUCCAUUUUGAAAAUCUGCACCGAAAAAAUUCCAUUAGAUACUGAUGUGUCAUUACAAGAUGUGGCAGCCCUAACAGACCUCUUCUCUGGAGCUGAUCUUGAAAAUCUGUGCAAGGAGGCUGCUUUGUUGGCAUUGCAAGAGAAUGGACUCAAAGCUACUGCUGUAAAACAGGAACAUUUUGUGAAAUUGCUGAAGACUGUAAAACCAUCUUUAAGCAUAAAAGACUUGGAAUUUUAUGAAAAAUUCUCUAAUCAAGAAUUAGCCUCUUGAAUCUAAGAAGGAGUGGCAUAAGUAUUUUUAAAUAUAUUACAAAGAUUUUGAAAAGGCACCUCUCCGAGCUCUGAAGACGCACGUUUGCCUAGCUGCCCUGUUCUUUGGGCAGCUGCCUGGAGAAGGGGACAGAGACGAAGACGGAGGAGAAAUGGAGAAGCCAGGUUUGAGGA
This is a non-coding RNA of Sturnus vulgaris (Common starling), 2453 nucleotides long. Lineage: Eukaryota; Metazoa; Chordata; Aves; Passeriformes; Sturnidae. The record is from RefSeq and is a predicted model, not a curated record.